GACGAACGCUGGCGGCGUGCUUAACACAUGCAAGUCGAACGGAAAGGCCCUGCUUUUGUGGGGUGCUCGAGUGGCGAACGGGUGAGUAACACGUGAGUAACCUGCCCUUGACUUUGGGAUAACUUCAGGAAACUGGGGCUAAUACCGGAUAGGAGCUCCUGCUGCAUGGUGGGGGUUGGAAAGUUUCGGCGGUUGGGGAUGGACUCGCGGCUUAUCAGCUUGUUGGUGGGGUAGUGGCUUACCAAGGCUUUGACGGGUAGCCGGCCUGAGAGGGUGACCGGCCACAUUGGGACUGAGAUACGGCCCAGACUCCUACGGGAGGCAGCAGUGGGGAAUAUUGCACAACGGGCGGAAGCCUGAUGCAGCAACGCCGCGUGCGGGAUGAAGGCCUUCGGGUUGUAAACCGCUUUCGCCUGUGACGAAGCGUGAGUGACGGUAAUGGGUAAAGAAGCACCGGCUAACUACGUG
Molecule: ribosomal RNA, 468 nt
Filed under: uncultured bacterium
Lineage: Bacteria
Description: partial 16S ribosomal RNA
Rfam family: Bacterial small subunit ribosomal RNA
Source: RNAcentral